AGAUUGAACGCUGGCGGCAUGCCUAACACAUGCAAGUCGAACGGGAGUAGCAAUACUCUAGUGGCGGACGGGUGAGGAAUACGUAGGAAUUUGCCCUUAAGUGGGGGAUAACCCGGGGAACCCGGAUUAAUACCGCAUGACCUCGAAAGAGCAAAGUGGGGGAUCGCAAGACCUCACGCUUUUGGACGAAGCCUACGUCGGAUUAGCUAGUUGGUGAGGUAAUGGCUCACCAAGGCGACGAUCUGUAACUGGUCUGAGAGGAUGACU
This 267-nucleotide ribosomal RNA is filed under the name uncultured soil bacterium. RNAcentral describes it as "partial 16S ribosomal RNA". It matches the Rfam family "Bacterial small subunit ribosomal RNA", at positions 26 to 305 of the family's 1533-position model. The record is from RNAcentral.